CCUACGGGAGGCAGCAGUGAGGAAUAUUGGUCAAUGGCCGAGAGGCUGAACCAGCCAAGUCGCGUGAGGGAAGACGGCCCUACGGGUUGUAAACCUCUUUUGUCGGGGAGCAAAGCGACCCACGUGUGGUUCAUUGAGAGUACCCGAAGAAACAGCAUCGGCUAACUCCGUGCCAGCAGCCGCGGUAAUACUGAGGAUGCGAGCGUUAUCCGGAUUUCUUGGGGGUAAAGGGAGCGUAGACGGCCAUGCAAGCCAGGGGUGAAAGCCCGGGGCCCAACCCCGGGACUGCCCUUGGAACUGCAUGGCUGGAGUGCGGGAGGGGCAGGCGGAAUUCCUGGUGUAGCGGUGAAAUGCGUAGAUAUCAGGAGGAACACAGGCGGCGAAGGCGGCCUGCUGGACCGCGACUGACGUUGAGGCUCGAAAGCGUGGGGAGCGAACAGGAUUAGAUACCCUUGUAGUC
RNAcentral lists this ribosomal RNA (460 nucleotides) under uncultured bacterium. RNAcentral's name for it is "partial 16S ribosomal RNA". It matches the Rfam family "Bacterial small subunit ribosomal RNA", at positions 338 to 795 of the family's 1533-position model. The record is from RNAcentral.